RNAcentral lists this transfer RNA (71 nucleotides) under Sicista betulina (Northern birch mouse). RNAcentral describes it as "tRNA-Ala". It matches the Rfam family "tRNA". From Rfam's summary of the family: Transfer RNA (tRNA) molecules are approximately 80 nucleotides in length. Their secondary structure includes four short double-helical elements and three loops (D, anti-codon, and T loops). Further hydrogen bonds mediate the characteristic L-shaped molecular structure. tRNAs have two regions of fundamental functional importance: the anti-codon, which is responsible for specific mRNA codon recognition, and the 3' end, to which the tRNAs corresponding amino acid is attached (by aminoacyl-tRNA synthetases). tRNAs cope with the degeneracy of the genetic code in two manners: having more than one tRNA (with a specific anti-codon) for a particular amino acid; and 'wobble' base-pairing, i.e. permitting non-standard base-pairing at the 3rd anti-codon position. Lineage: Eukaryota; Metazoa; Chordata; Mammalia; Rodentia; Dipodidae. The record is from RNAcentral.
GAGGGAUUUAGCUUAAUUAAAGCAAAUGAUUUGCAUUCAUUAGAUGUAGGAUAAAUUCCUGUAACCCUUAA